UACGUAGGGACCGAGCGUUGUCCGGAAUCAUUGGGCGUAAAGAGCGUGUAGGCGGCCACUUAAGUCCUGCGUGAAAUCUUGCGGCUCAACCGCAAGCGGUCGUGGGAAACUGGGUGGCUAGAGUGCGGGAGAGGAGAGUGGAAUUCCUGGUGUAGCGGUGGAAUGCGCAGAUAUCAGGAAAGAACACCCGUGGCGAAGGCGGCUCUCUGGAACGCAACUGACGCUGAGACGCGAAAGCGUGGGGAGCAAACAGG
This 254-nucleotide ribosomal RNA is filed under the name uncultured bacterium. RNAcentral describes it as "partial 16S ribosomal RNA". It matches the Rfam family "Bacterial small subunit ribosomal RNA", at positions 524 to 776 of the family's 1533-position model. The record is from RNAcentral.